This is an RNA transcript of Halichondria panicea, 3184 nucleotides long. It is a transcript of the gene named inversin-like, with no coding region annotated. The record is from RefSeq and is a predicted model, not a curated record. The transcript is spliced from 15 exons. Lineage: Eukaryota; Metazoa; Porifera; Demospongiae; Suberitida; Halichondriidae.
CUCCACACAGCGUUCCCCUUGUCCGCUAAAUCCCGUCCCUUCUCCAAAAAAUGCUCGUCCUGUUGCUAAGAAACCAACCAACCAACCAAUCGAAACCCUCUGUGACUGUCAACCCCAUCACCGCAACGAAGGCUAUUGCCACAGCAGUUACCACGACAACCAUUUCAUCUCAAAAUCGACCUUGGAAUAGGUCGCGGGUCAAAUCGCUAUGGCAACAACGAGUAUCGAAUCUGAAGCCGUCCAAUCAGAAUGCAGGAUUCCAUUAGAGCGUAGACAGUGGACUGGAUGCUUUUGGUUAUGUCCCGUUCACUCCACAAAGAAUAGGAUCAGAGACCAACCUGACCACAGUGACUGGCAGUCCAUUUCCUACGGAUGACUUUGGUAGCACUCCAUUAAUUUUGACGGACGUUCCUCUACCCGCUCUUAUAAUACUGCUGACAAUGCAAGACGAGAUUUGUUUGGAGCACCCCCCUUUGGAGAGGGUUCAAAGGUUACGGCGACAAUGACAACUGUAGAUCAAUUUGGAGCAGUUCCUUUUAGCUGAAUUUUAAUAUUUUAUUUUUCCGUCUGUUUAGUAUAUUAUUUAUAAGUGUUGUUUUGUGUGUAGCAGGAUCAUGUGUGUAGUAGGAUCACAUGACUGGACUAUUGACUGUGUCCUAUAAUUAUUAUAAAAUUAAUGAUGUUCAGUGCUUUUACUUUAUAUGCAAUAUCUUUGUUGAAAGAGUAAUUAAGUUUUUAUGGCCGGAAGCUUAAAGACCCUUGAAAUACAAAAAGAGGGUGUGGCACUUAAUUUUGCUUUGUUUACUGAGGGGAGAAUUUGACAGAGUUUGAACAAAGCUUCAAUGGCUGAACAAGAUUCAGAUGCUCAAAAGAAGCUAGCCAGGGACUUAUACAAGGCUGUAGACAAUCAUGACGUCCCCAAAGUUAGGUCCCUGUUGGGACAGGGGGCAGACCCCAACCACAAGCUCUACUGGAGUGACGAGUGGCCGGGUAAGCUGCCUCCAUUACACAGGGCUUGCUGGAGGGGCUACCUUGAGAUUGUGAAGACACUUGUUACUCAUGGAGCUCGUACUGAUGAAGCUGGUGGGUGGCUUAACUUGAUUCCACUUUACUGGGCAUGCUGGAAAGGUCAUAAAGAGGUGGUCAAGUACUUUUUCCGCGAGCUUGGAUUUAGCACUGUGCUCUGUUCCACAACAGAUGUGAGGGAUAAGGAUAACAAGACUCCUCUUCACUGGGCUUGUGUGGGAGGAAGUAUAGACGUGGUACAGUAUCUGGUGGAGGAGAGGAAGAUGGAUGUUGAUGUGAAUGAUGAGGGACAGUCACCACUGGACAUAGCUCUGGGAGGUCUGUAUGAAUAUGGUGAAGGUGGUUGUGUGGAUGUUGCCCUCUAUCUGACGAGCCGUGGCUGUGGUGGUGAUAAGGACAAAGCCAAGUUACUCUGUACAGCAUGUGGCUAUGGCAACCUGGGUGUGGUGAAGGAACUGGUUGAGCUACACAAAGUUGACCCCAAGAAUGUGAGGGAUGGUAAGGGAAAGUCACCACUGGACAAAGCUCUGGAGGAUCUGUAUGAAUGUGGUGAUGGUUGUGUGGAUGUUGCCCACUACCUGAUGAGCCGUGGCUGUGCAUGUGGUGAUGAGGACAAAGCCGAGUUACUGCGUGCAGCAUGUUACCAUGGCAACAUGGGUGUAGUGAAGGAACUAGUCGAGCAACACAAAGUUGACCCCAAUGUGAGGGAUUAUGGCACCAACUGGACCCCUCUCCGCUUUGCAUGCUGCAAUGGACACAAAGAUGUGGUGCAGUAUUUGGUGGAGAAGGCCAACUGUGAUAUCAGUGUAACUGACGAUGAUGGUGAGACUCCUCUUGACUUUGCUACACAGGCAGGUCACACUGAAAUUGCGGACUACCUCAAGUCUCUACCACAACAAUCUGCUGUGACUGGAGACACUGACUCCAGGAGUGACGAGAAUGGACCACCACCGACAAAGAAACGAAAAAGUGGCCAGCCAGUGACUCUGAGAGUGUGUCCUAACUGUGAGGAGAGCUGUCACAUUCGCUGCAAGAAAUGUCCCGAAUGUGAGCACGAGUUUCCUCCUUCCACUAAGAGCAGGGCCAAACCUGACCAGGAUAUUGUGAAAAACCCUUCAAACCUACUGCAGAUACUUCAGAAAAAGGUCACUACACAGUACACACUUUAUACUGUAUUAGUACCAGUAACAGUAAUAUUGUAUUGUACAGCCGAAUAGCCGCGGUUAUGAUUUCAUACAUAGUACCGUACCGCCCACCGCGGAACCAAAAUCUAAUUAAUUUUAAAUUACUUUCAUUAUCAGCUCCUAGCAAAGAAAGAUGCGUAGCUAAGAAGCAGUAGCAGUUAUCUGCAGGCAACUUUGUUGCAAACUAGUCUAGAAUAGUUAUUCUGCCAGGAUCUCUGAGUUUUGAACGGAGCAGGUAACCAGCCAAGGCCCCAGCGAAGGAUCAUUUCACAGCAUUCGCUUCUAGCAAAGAAAGAUGUAUAACUUGGAAACAGUGACAAUUUUCUUUAUUCAACUUCGUAGCAAAGUAGUCUACAGUAGUUACUGUGUCAGGAUCUCCUUGUUUCUUACGGAAAAGUCAACCAGCCAAGGCCAGAGCGAGGGAUCUCUUCAGAGUGUGGCAAAGAAAGAUGCACCCCUUAGUAACAGUAACAGUUCUCUUUAAGCUACCUUGUAGCUAGUUACUCUGUCAGGACCUCCAAUCUGAACAGUCAACCAGCUACGCGCCAAGGACAGAGCGAGAUUUUACUUCAGAGCUGUGAUGAAUGCUGGAAUUUUGUCUUGAAUCGGAGAUCUGAAAGUUUGGGCCAACAGAUUGGUUGAGAUGGUGGGAGUCCAUAGUCUGGCCAGGAGUGGAACUGCUUACAGGGAAAGAAAGAAAAGGCUUGUUGGGCUUAUGAGUGUACUGUUUAUGAGUCUAUGGAACUAUCGUCUGCUAUCUGCCAUGGAACCACCACCAUCUUAUGGGUCUGAGAAGCUCUACUCACUGUGACUACUAUCCAGGAUACCUAGGAGUACCUCAUCCCCUGUGUACAGAGGCCUCUUAGUCAUUGUUGUACCAUAGAAUUAAUUGUAAUUGUAUUUAUUAUAAUGUAUGUUCACUUUUGAGAUUGAUAUUGAAAUACAAAUUUCACAUGAAAAUUUCAGCAAAUUUU